RNAcentral lists this ribosomal RNA (465 nucleotides) under uncultured bacterium. RNAcentral describes it as "bacterial SSU rRNA". It matches the Rfam family "Bacterial small subunit ribosomal RNA", at positions 338 to 795 of the family's 1533-position model. The record is from RNAcentral.
CCUACGGGGGGCUGCAGUAGGGAAUAUUGCGCAAUGGGCGAAAGCCUGACGCAGCCAUGCCGCGUGGAUGAUGAAGGCCUUCGGGUCGUAAAGUCCUUUUCUGAGGGAAGAACUGCCGGGGGAGGAAAUGCCCUUGGCUUGACGGUACCUCAGGAAUAAGCAACGGCUAACUCCGUGCCAGCAGCCGCGGUAAUACGGAGGUUGCAAGCGUUGUUCGGAAUGACUGGGCGUAAAGGGAGCGCAGGCGGCCAAGUCAGUCUGAAGUGAAAGCCCGGGGCUUAACCCCGGAAUAGCUUUGGAUACUGCCUGGCUUGAGUGUGCGAUAGGAAAGCGGAAUUCCAGGUGUAGCGGUGAAAUGCGUAGAUAUCUGGAGGAACACCGGUGGCGAAAGCGGCUUUCUGGCGCAUAACUGACGCUGAGGCUCGAAAGCGUGGGGAGCGAACGGGAUUAGAUACCCCGGUAGUC